Molecule: ribosomal RNA, 253 nt
Filed under: uncultured bacterium
Lineage: Bacteria
Description: partial 16S ribosomal RNA
Rfam family: Bacterial small subunit ribosomal RNA
Source: RNAcentral
UACGUAGGGCGCAAGCGUUGUCCGGAAUUAUUGGGCGUAAAGAGCUCGUAGGCGGCUUGUCACGUCGGAUGUGAAAGCCCGAGGCUUAACCUCGGGUCUGCAUUCGAUACGGGCUAGCUAGAGUGUGGUAGGGGAGAUCGGAAUUCCUGGUGUAGCGGUGAAAUGCGCAGAUAUCAGGAGGAACACCGGUGGCGAAGGCGGAUCUCUGGGCCAUUAUUGACGCUGAGGAGCGAAAGCGUGGGGAGCGAACAGG